CUGGAUUGAAAAAUGCCCAGUACCUUCAAACUGUGUGCCUCAGCUGAGAUUUCUGAAGGGAAUUCUCAAAACUGAUGGGAGAGGCAUAGCUCAGACACCAGGACAGCACAGGCAAGUCACAUCUCAGCGCUCAAAAAUCAGGAGCCAUCAGGCCUUGGCAAUAAAUUCUCUAUUUACUGUUAAAACUGUUAUUUAAAGAAGCACAAAACUUUCCCCAAACUCUCCAUAGACAUAAUUCAGGUGCUGCAAGGCUCUAGAAACACAGCAUGGAAAAUCAGGGUUUUGGCACCUGAAUUGGCUUCAAACCAGAGAUCUAUCAAGUCUUGCUUUUCCAGAGUAUUUAAGGAAAAUGAGGAUUUGCUGUUCACCUGCUGGGAACCCCCGAUGUGUGGAGACGCGAGGCUUGACUCCAUGUUUCAGAAGCUCCCGAAGUGACCCAGUUUUCUUCUUGGCUGAAGAGCUGCUGCUGGCCUGGAGCAGUGAGGAGCUGCAGGACGAGUCAGGGCUGCUCUGGACAUGUGUCAUCACCCCCAUCUCCUCCUGCAAGACGGCAAUGUCUGUAAUUAUCCAGAUCCAGGAGGGAGCAGCAGUGAUCCACAGUUUUCCCUAUUUUAGAGGAGGUUUGGAUGCAACCCACAGCUCCACCCCUUUCCUUCCUCUAUCCCUGGAUGUUACAAGGACUUUCUGUCCCUUCAAGGAGGCUGUGCACACUGGAUAUAGGGCACUCUGGUGACAGUCACUGGCCAGUUGAUGCCAUCUCCAGGUCAUGGUUGUCAGGAAGUCCAAGUCUGCCCUUCUUGGAGAGCAGCAGCACAUUUCAAACAAAGCAGUCAGGACACUCUUCAACUUUGGAAAGACAUCCUUUUCAUGAUGGGCUUCAUUCCAAAAUAUCUGCAGUGUAUAUGGAAGCCUUUCAGGAGGGUCAGGGAUCCCUUCUGGAGUCCUUGUCAAGAAAAGCAGCAGCUCUCCAUGUCUCAAGGGCUUUUCUCUGUUAUGUGAUGAGCUCCAUGAGGACACAUCCAACUGACAGCACACCCCUCUGCAGCCUCAAAUCACAGCUCUGCUGUGCUUUCGAUCAUAGUGCAGCCAGGAAAUCAUGGAUCUUCUGGAUUUAGAUCCAGUGUGAUCCCAGCUGCUGAAUUAGAGCUUGAGAAGGUGUUCCUGGGCAGGUCCGUGCUUUCCCUGGAGGCUACAUGGCAGUCUGGCCCAGACUCGCAGUUCCAGCUGCCCCUUCCUCCCACAGCGGGCUGGGCAUGUCCCAGCUUGGGGUGUACCCAAACCCAGAGUCACUGUCACGCUCAAUCCCAUUCUGGAUUCGAGUCAGUCCUUUGGCUGAACCACUCAGGGCAGGAGGGAACCCGCAUGGAGGUCACUGCUCUGGUAAUGAGCCUGGAGGAAAAUGACUUGGGGUGCUGGAGAUGGUACCAGGUAUGCCCAGGUGGGCAGGAAGGCCAUGUCCCCUUGUCUAUCCUCACCAGUGCCACACCAGAAAGCCCAGUCCUGGUGGUCCCACUACAUCUCCCACAACCAGCCUAUCAUUUGCUUUGUGUAGGGAAGCAGUUAGGAAUGGGUGAGCAGAAUUAUUCCUGGACUUGGACACUCCCUGCUCAGAAAUACAGGAGCUGCUCAUGCCAGGUAAGGUUGGGACCUGGGAUAAGGCUGUC
Molecule: long non-coding RNA, 1664 nt
Organism: Passer domesticus (house sparrow)
Lineage: Eukaryota; Metazoa; Chordata; Aves; Passeriformes; Passeridae
Exons: 3
Source: RefSeq, a predicted model, not a curated record